GAUGAACGCUAGCGGCAGGCUUAACACAUGCAAGUCGAGGGGUAACAGGAGUGCUUGCACUCGCUGACGACCGGCGCACGGGUGCGUAACGCGUAUAGAACCUACCUUUUACUGAGGGAUAGCCUUUAGAAAUGAAGAUUAAUACCUCAUGGUAUUGCAAUUUGGCAUCAGAUUGUAAUUAAAGAUUUAUUGGUAAAAGAUGGCUAUGCGUCUUAUUAGCUAGAUGGUAAGGUAACGGCUUACCAUGGCAACGAUAAGUAGGGGCCCUGAGAGGGGGAUCCCCCACACUGGUACUGAGACACGGACCAGACUCCUACGGGAGGCAGCAGUGAGGAAUAUUGGACAAUGGAGGCAACUCUGAUCCAGCCAUGCCGCGUGUAGGAUGACUGCCCUAUGGGUUGUAAACUACUUUUAUACAGGAAGAAACACCUCUACGUGUAGAGGCUUGACGGUACUGUAAGAAUAAGGAUCGGCUAACUCCGUGCCAGCAGG
Molecule: ribosomal RNA, 492 nt
Filed under: uncultured bacterium
Lineage: Bacteria
Description: bacterial SSU rRNA
Rfam family: Bacterial small subunit ribosomal RNA
Source: RNAcentral